Molecule: ribosomal RNA, 585 nt
Filed under: uncultured bacterium
Lineage: Bacteria
Description: bacterial SSU rRNA
Rfam family: Bacterial small subunit ribosomal RNA
Source: RNAcentral
CCUACGGGAGGCAGCAGUGGGGAAUAUUGCGCAAUGGGGGAAACCCUGACGCAGCAACGCCGCGUGAGUGAGGAAGGACUUCGGUCUGUAAAGCUCUGUUAAUGUGGAAAAAUGGUAGUUGGUCUAAUAGGCCGAUUAUUUGAUGGUACACAUAGAGGAAGCACCGGCUAACUUCGUGCCAGCAGCCGCGGUAAUACGAAGGGUGCAAGCGUUGUUCGGAUUUAUUGGGCGUAAAGCGCGCGUAGGCGGACCUGUAAGUCAGAUGUGAAAUCUCGGGGCUCAACCUCGAAACUGCGUCUGAAACUGCAGGUCUAGAAUCUCGGAGGGGGAAGGGGAAUUUCGCAUGUAGGGGUAAAAUCCGUAGAUAUGCGAAGGAACACCAGAGGCGAAGGCGCCUUCCUGGACGAGUAUUGACGCUGAGGCGCGAAAGCGUGGGGAUCAAACAGGAUUAGAUACCCUGGUAGUCCACGCUGUAACUAUGAACACUAGGUAUUGGAGGAUUUGACCCCUUCAGUGCCGUAGCUAACGCGUUAAGUGUUCCGCCUGGGAAGUACGGUCGCAAGCUAAACUCAAAUGAAUUGACGG